This 754-nucleotide long non-coding RNA is filed under the name Homo sapiens (human). RNAcentral's name for it is "HSALNT0178051". Lineage: Eukaryota; Metazoa; Chordata; Mammalia; Primates; Hominidae. The record is from RNAcentral.
AACGGUCAGUCUGGAAUCUCGGCCUCAGCAGUGGGACCACCCGGAGGGGUGGGGGUACAUGUUCGAAAGAAAAGGACUCACUUAAAUGGAGAAACCCGGAUUAGGAAAGAGAGAAAGCAGCGGCAGCAGACACGGGCAGUUUGCUGGACCUCACAGAGGUGAUUGAUGCAGCAUCCCCCCGGGAGCCGGGUGAAAUCACAGACUCCAGCAGCAGCUUCUGAGAUGACUGUGGCUAACAAAUUUUUCCAGCAACACAGAGCUGAGAGGAUUGGGAUCUCAGAGAAGAAGGAGCCCUGCAUUCUUGGCUUCAUCUGCCUGGAGUGGAGUUUCCAUCAUGCUGAGCUGGAGGUGCACGGGGCCAGGGAAUGAGCAAGUCGUAGCUCAAAUGUCCCAGACUCUUACUAUUCUUAUUGAAAUUUAGUAGGUUUUCUUGAAUAAAUGUUUCUUCAUCUGCUGUAUGCCCUUAGGACAAUUCCCAGGAACAUACAUCUAUAUUGAUAUCAAUAUAAAUAUAAAUAGAUAAUUAUGUAUGUAUAACUUUAGCAGUUUUACUUGUUCUGCUGGAAAGAAGGUCUGGAAGGUUUGCAGAGCUGCUCAUGCCACCAUUCCAGAAGUUAUCCACCAGUUCAUUGCUUUUUGCACAGUAGUAUUCCAUUGCAUGUCUAUGCCACAAUUUGUUUAUCCAUUCACCUGUUGAUGGACAUUUGAGCUGUUUCCUGUUUGAGGCUAUUACAAAUAAAGCUGCUUUACAAAU